UCCUGUGGCCUUGAUUCAGAUUAGCUGUG
This 29-nucleotide non-coding RNA is filed under the name Homo sapiens (human). The record is from RNAcentral. Lineage: Eukaryota; Metazoa; Chordata; Mammalia; Primates; Hominidae.